This 369-nucleotide unclassified non-coding RNA is filed under the name Agaricus campestris. RNAcentral's name for it is "partial internal transcribed spacer region". The stretch from base 1 to 46 matches the Rfam family "Eukaryotic small subunit ribosomal RNA", at positions 1786 to 1831 of the family's 1831-position model. Lineage: Eukaryota; Fungi; Basidiomycota; Agaricomycetes; Agaricales; Agaricaceae. The record is from RNAcentral.
AAGUCGUAACAAGGUUUCCGUAGGUGAACCUGCGGAAGGAUCAUUAUUGAAUUAUGUUUCUAGAUGGGUUGUAGCUGGCUCUUUGGAGCAUGUGCACGCCUGUUUGGAUUUCAUUUUCAUCCACCUGUGCACUUAUUGUAGUCUUUGGUUUGGGUAUUGAGGAAGUGGUCAACCUAUCAGCAUUUGCUGGAUGUGAGGAGUUUGCAGUGUGAAAGCAUUGCUGUCCUUUACUUUGGCCAUGGAGUCUUUUGCCUGCCAGAGUCUAUGUCAUUCAUUAUACCCUCUCGAAUGUUAUCGAAUGUUUUCACAUGGGCUUUCAUGCCUAUGAAAAUUAUAAUACAACUUUCAGCAACGGAUCUCUUGGCUCUC